AAUUUUAACUUCCCAUUUCUUUUUUUGCACAUUAAAAGCUGUGGAUAGGGAGUAAUUGAACAGGAGAUAACCACAGUGAGCUGUUGGAUGAAGAGCUGCAGACAAGACGGCAGCAGUGAUGUUACGGAUGGCCGAAGCUAAAUGUGCUGCUGCACAGGAAGGUGUUUCUUCC
Long non-coding RNA from Centropristis striata (black sea bass), 172 nucleotides. RefSeq lists it as uncharacterized. The transcript is spliced from 3 exons. NCBI's taxonomy places the organism in Eukaryota, Metazoa, Chordata, Actinopteri, Perciformes, Serranidae. The record is from RefSeq and is a predicted model, not a curated record.